Molecule: long non-coding RNA, 776 nt
Filed under: Gossypium barbadense (sea-island cotton)
Lineage: Eukaryota; Viridiplantae; Streptophyta; Magnoliopsida; Malvales; Malvaceae
Description: long non-coding RNA (GBAR_LNC003606)
Source: RNAcentral
UCAGAAUGAGUUGUGAAUGAACCAAAAAUGUCAGAUCCAUCAAAAUUGUUCAGCGGAACAGCAGCAAAUGGAUCAACAAUGUUAGCAUUUACUGGCUCAACGUUUGCUGCCAUGGCUGGUUGCACAACUGGAUCAGUGGUGGAAAAGAGGUCAACAGUUGGAGAUGCUGCAGGAGUAAUGGCAGGCUGAGAAGCGAAUAAAUCAACCUGUCCCUGCACAAAUGAGAAAAAGAGAAGUGGAUUUCAGCUCUUCAUGGUUAAAAGAUUUGCCCCAACUCCUUAAUUAGUUAGUCAAAAACCUCUGAUAUCCACCUAAUUAGUACACAAACAUAUAUACACAGACACGUAUACAUACUCUGCAUGCUCAAAUAAAAGCUUUUCUAAGAUUACACAAUCUUAAGCAAACUGGUGUUUUUAUCAGUGGAGAUAUUUUUUGCAAUGAAGAGAUGAAAGGACGUUGGUAGGUGGGAGCGUGGGGGGAAGAGGUGCAUGUUAAGUUAAUUGAAGGUAAGUUCUAUCUGGUGUCUUCUUUAUUUGGUUUUUUUAAAGACAGACUGAUACCUUUAUGUGUGGUUGCACAACUGGAUCACUGCCAGCAAAUAGGUCAACAGUUGGAGAGGCUGCAGGAGUAAUGGCAGGCUGGGAAGCAAAUAGAUCAACUUGUUGCUGCACAAAUGAGAAGGAGAAGAAACAGAUGUCAGCUCCUCAUAAUUUAAAGGAUAUGCCUCGACUCCAAUAACUAGUCCCAAUACCUCUAUGAUAUCCACUGAAAAUCAG